Molecule: ribosomal RNA, 396 nt
Filed under: uncultured eukaryote
Lineage: Eukaryota
Description: bacterial SSU rRNA
Rfam family: Eukaryotic small subunit ribosomal RNA
Source: RNAcentral
CUGAAUACAUUAGCAUGGGAUAAUAAAAAUAGGAUCUUCACAAUAUAUUUUAUUGGUUUAAAUUGGAUAUGAAGAUAAUGAUUAAUAGGGACAGUUGGGGGUAUUCAUAUUGGGUGGUUAGCGGUGAAAUGCUCGGAUCCAUUCAAGAUGAACUAAAGCGAAAGCAUUUACCAAGGAUGUUUUCAUUAAUCAAGAACGAAAGUUAAGGGAUCGAAGACGAUUAGAUACCGUCGUAGUCUUAACUAUAAACUAUGCCGACCAGGGAUAUGAGUUGUUAGGAAUAUGCGAAAGUAUAUUCAAUUUCUUCUUAUGAACCUUGUGAGAAAAUCAUAAGUUUUUGGGGUUCUGGGGGGGAGUAUGGUCGCAGGGCUGAACUAAAGGAAUUGACGGAGGGGC